Molecule: long non-coding RNA, 8359 nt
Organism: Plodia interpunctella (Indianmeal moth)
Lineage: Eukaryota; Metazoa; Arthropoda; Insecta; Lepidoptera; Pyralidae
Exons: 6
Source: RefSeq, a predicted model, not a curated record
CUUGAAAAAAAUAGUUAAACUCCGUUUGUAUUAUUUUGUAACUUUUUUACAAAUAUAAAAGAGUGAUUUAAAAUAGAAGAAAAAUAAUAUUUGAAUCACAAGUAAUAAGAAAUUUUAAUUAUGUAAAUAGGCACCUACGUAAAUACGAUAAUUAUCGAUACUGAAGGUGGUGAAUCAAUCAGUCACGCACACAAUUAAAAAUUAAUGUCGAUUAUAAAGAACAUGCCUUUAAAAUAAUUGUACAUACCAAUUUGCUCAGUAUACGUAUGUAGAUAUAUUGUCACCAUAGUAAAUACCAAUAUAAUACUAACAUUUGCCAAUUUCUGCUUGAGUAAGGAAGUUUACAACAGGCAGACAAAAUUGACAUUAAGAAAUGAAAAAUUGCUUGUGCACAAUAUUCUGUAAAAACAGUCCCGCAUAUUAUUUUAAUGGGAGUAUAAAACCUAUGAAUACGAGGGCGAAUCAUACUCUUCCAUUAACAAAAAUAAUUAAUAACUUAUAAGUAACUCUUUUUCAAACUAUAAAAAUAUACAGAAGAAAAAUCUUAGUUGCGUCCUUCUGCAAUGACCUCCAAGUGUUUGAUAUUUCUUCGUGUUAUUAUAUUUACGUGUGUUUUCGUCAACACAUAUCUGCUCGAUGGUUUUAACGUUUACGGUACAGGAUUGCGAAGUGCCUUCGAUUCAGGGGAAGUAAAGUCGGUCGUUGCAUUAGAUUACUUAGGAUGGAGUGGUGUAGGAGUUAAGACAAGGAAUAAGAAGCGACGUCGGCAUCGUUUGAUGAUGGCGAAAAAAUAUUUAAAAUUAAUUCAUAAUUGAAAUAAAUAAAUUUUAAUCAAUGCUUCUAUGAUUGUUUAUUGGGAAAUUGGUCGUACUUGAGAUUUGAGCCAAUUUAGUUUACAUCGCCGGCCCAGGUGGGCCGGAAGGAUUUGAUAUGAAAUUGUUAUUUGAAAUUGAUAGAAUAGUCCAUAGUAGAAAAGUCCUGUCGUCGAUACUCUCAAAUGUGAAACAUUCUUUGGACGAAACGUCCGUAGGAGUAAGAUUCUGACGGCGAAUUAUUUAAAAACUAAUCGUCCUGUUUGUCAUUAUUGCAAAGGAGAAACAACUGUCGAAGAAAGCUGAUAUAAAGCUGAAAUAAUUACUGAGAUAAAAUUAGCUAUUUGCCAUCUAAAACCCAAUUUGAUAAGCAUGAAUAUAUUCACAUAAUUAAUUAAAAGUUCUUUUUGUAUAAUGGCAAUGUUCUGGUAUAGAAAGCAGUACUAUUUUCAGAAUGUCUACCCAUUGAAUUAGCUAUUAUUCACUAAAUAGUAAAACACCAUCUGUGCUAAAAAAAACUUGUUGAUCAAGACAGUAUACUAAAUGUCGACUUGCAGUCAAGAUUCAAGAUAAACGAGCCCUUUACAAUACUAGUUAAACGAAAGAAGAUUGCUAUGUCAUCUGCAGGGCAAGUCGUCGUUAUCAAUUAUAAUACUGGAAGUUUAAGAUAGACACGUUUUUCGUUACGAUCUUCGCAACGAAUUAAAUACUAUUCUUGAAAUCAAAUGUCUGCAAUGAACUUCUAUUUAUUUUUUCUUUACACUUUGCUAUUCACAUUUGUUUUCGUAAAAGCGAACAUAGACGAUGUUGACUGAUAUGACUGCACCGUUGAUUCAGUUGUCGGGUACGAUUACUUAGAUAUGCUUGGUUUUCAGCAAAUGCAAUUUAAAGUAUUGCACACUUCAGCAAAUAAAUAUAGGUUAUCUUCUAAAGAACUGUACAAUAAAGACUGUAUGGAAUACAAGUUGCCAAAAAGUGCGUAUCCUUUUUAUUUUUUAUACAUGCUGCUUACUAGAUUGUAAUAUUUAAUUCUUUCCAGAUUCAAUAAAUAAUUAAGUUGUGUCUAUUAUAUUAAACUUUUCUGCUCUUGUUUUAAUACGUAAUUCUAUCCCAUUUUUAUAUUCUUUGUCGAUGAUCCAGUGAACAGUUCAGUGGUUCAGUGUGAAAAGUAGAGUGAAUGCGCCCAUUUCAGUAAAUUAACCGUCACUUGAGAACUCUAGAAAAUUUUAGCAGUAGCCUUUAGUGAUAAUUGUCACUUGUGGGCAUUUAAAAAGAAACAAAUUAAUAAACUUACAUUUAACAUAUGUUAUGAAUCGAGCUUUAGUUUUAUCAUUUGAUAUUGAAGAGAAAGAAAGUCACUGGCAACCAGCAUUAAAUUCCUUUAUAUGCAGCUUUUUCUUAUUAAUAUAAAUAAAUAAUUAAUUAAAUAGAGUAAAUACUAUAGAUAAGAAAUAAAUUUGCCUGUGUUAGAGUUAGCGACUGCAUCUAAAAUAUGCUACAAACAAUGCUGCAAUCCUAUAAUGAGAAAAUAAUAAUUAAUAUCAAUUUAAAAAAAUAUCUUUGAAUGUGAAUAUUUUAAGUAUUUUUCGACCCUACGCUAAUAAUAUUUUUUUGUACAUACUUAUUACAUAUUACCCUUGCUUGCAUACUUAUAUUUAUGAAAUGCGUAGAAAAUCCAAUUUUCAGUGUGUGUUAACGAAAACAAGAUUUCUUAAUUGAUUGCUGUUUUUUUGAAAUAAAUCGAUUGCAUCGAUAAAUGAAACAUAAAUGGUGUGGCUGCAUUGAUAGCAGCCAGGCAGAUAGGACAUAAUAUAUUCUUUAUUUGAACCCAAGAAUAUCUAAAAUUAAACAGUGUUUUAAAAUAUUAAUAUACCUAUAUAUUUUUUUAUUUAUUCCAAAAGAUAAGGAUUUUAAAUUGUUCAGUACUAUUUUGGUGGUUUAUUGAAAUUAAAGGUAGAGGAAAUUUCAUUUACUACCUUCUGCAAUGACCUCCACGAUGUUGUUCAUAAUAAUUGCUGCUCUGCUUUUGGUAAUCGUCAACACAAGAAAAAAUUCGCAUCACUCAAAAAUAUUUGAUUUCGAUGAAGCAAAUUAUACUAAAAUAUUACCACUGUUCUCUUAUUACUAUUACAACGGUGGUUAUGAUUAAAAUAUAGCAUUGAAAGUAAAAAAAUACAUAAAAUAUUUUUUUAUUAGUAUUAAUAUUGUUAAAUUAGUAAACAUAUAUAGAACAAUUUAAUUCGAUUAUGUGAAAUAAUAAAUAUCGAGUGGAGAAAUUUUAUACAUUUGUGGAUAAAUAAAGCUUUUCUUUAUAGAAUACCAACUGCCCGACCCAGCUUCGCUCGGAUAAAACUCUAACAAAUUAGAAACAUAAACCUUCCUAUUAAAUAACUCUAUUAAAAAUCCGUAUCAAAAUUGUUGCCGUUGCGUAAUUUUAAAGAUCUCAGCAUGCAUAGGGACAGACGAAGAGCGCGAAGCGACUUUUUUUUAUACUAUCUCUAGUGUAAUGAUGAUUAGUUUUGUUUCUAUUUAUUUGCACCAACCCACUUGAAAUUGAAAUCUGUUGAGUGAAUUCCUAGUAGGCCCCGGCUGAUCGUUACCUCUCAUGCGGAGACAAAUUCCAGGACCUUUUCUCUUCUUAUAAUUUUGUACUCUUGAUAAAUAUUGUAGUUUUCUUAGACUACACUACUUGCUUCCGAAUCUGGUGAAGGAGUACAGUGAGGAAACUGGUAGUUUAGAAAAAGAUUUAUUAGCUACUAAAACUAAACUUGAGUGUUUUUCCACGUAAUUACUAAAACCUUUACCGUGAGGAAUACGAUGAAGAAAAAUAAAUGGCUUUUCUCUCAUGAUCUGAUCUGGCAGUUUUGAUGUCGUCAUAAAGUCAUGGCGACUGCUUAAUGGGCAAGAAACAGGACUUUGGGGGAACGUCUGGGGGAAGGUCGUCAGGAAAAUCGAAAGAUACUGUUGAUGGCCACCUGUCACAUGUACAAUAGUGAUGGAAAAAUCAAGUGAAGAAAUAACAGUCAAUGAUGACGAGUUUGGAUACGACUUUGAUUAUAACUUUUACUAUAUAUACGAUUACGACUACUAUGGUUCCGCUAUGAUAAAAGGGCUACCUUCUUCUUAUAAGGGGCUACCAACUCACUUACUACCGAUAUAUAAAGAAAAUUGGAAAAGAUAUAAUGCAGAUUGCUUAUCGCGAAAAUUACCGGCUAGUGCUUGCCCAUUCUUAAAAUUUAUAUAUAAAUUAAAAUUCUAAAAACUAAAUACAUGGUAUUAUACGAAUCUGAAUAAAAUAGUAUAAUAUUUAUUAUGGCAGGUAAGUUUGGUAUCGUAAAUAUAUAAUAGUGUAGUAAUUAUCUAAAUUAAAAACCUACCAAUAUUCUUCUGGUAUCUCCAUUAAUAUUCUUGUUUGCUAUUUGAGUUAAAUUUUAUUUACAAAAUAAUAACCUAAUAAUUGUUUGUAUAAUUUCAGAUAAUUUCACGUACCUUUGGAAGCUAAACAAUGGACUUUUCUGAUAGUGGACUGGUAACCAUCACAAAAUGUGGAUUUUUUUAAAAUCUAACUAGACGUAGAUAUAUUUUAGUUACGUUACAUAAAAUGUAACAUAAUAUAAUUAAAGGGAAUUAUUAUAAAUCACUUUUAACAUAACCUCUAACUAUGAUUUUAUUAAAAUUAUCUCACUCAAAUCAAAACGUUUUUAUUUAUGUUUGAGAUGAGAUUGAUUCCAAUAGUAAGUCUGGAUAGUAUUGACAUUUAUCAUUAUUAAGUUGUGUAUAUAUACUACAUAAUUACUAAGGUCAUACCAUUUCUGGUUUAUCGAAUAAGACUGAACCUCAACACACAUUCAAAGUCGUUGGUGCCCACAAAAGCAUGAAUUAACAACUAAUUAUGGUGUAUGUAAAUGCGAGUAUUCAUUCCCAAAUUAUGAAAUUCUUCACCACCACGUAUAGAAUGAUUAUGUAAUAGAGCGGUCAAAGAGGGACCGAUGAUCCUAACUCAUAAAUUGAAGCAAGUUUGUUUAUUUAGUUAUUACUCUAUCUAUAGAGUAUGAACGGGCAACAAGCAAACGUUGAGUAGACUCAACUAAUCUUCAUGAAAUUUUGCAUACAUGUAGUUUGAAGUAUGGAGUAGGACAUAGGGUACUUUUCAUCCCGAAAAAAUAACGCGGGCGAAGCCGCAGGCAAAAGCUAGUUACCAACAAAAAGAACGAGGUUCUUGUCGAUGGAGUAUUCUCCGUUCUAUUUUGUUCUUCUCCAUAGAAUUUUCCUUACUUUACGAAUAGAUUAUAUUAUAUUAAAAUUAUGUUUAUGUAAUGAAUAAUAAUAACCCAAAUUAUAAGAUCCUGAAUAACUUUAAUUUAAAAAGUAGAAUAAAAAAAACUUAUUUUCAACACAAUUGGCCUUAUCAUUUCAAAGUCAUUUUCAAUCAUCAAUGGAAUUGUAUACUAAAUUUCAUAAAAUUCUGAACAGGCUUUACGUGGUUAAAAACAUUGUCACCCACAUCUAAAUGUUCGCAUUAUAAUAUUAAAUGAUAGAAUUUAUGUACCUAUGUAUAUAAUUUUAAGACCUAUCAUAGUACCUACACCUAAUGGCAAAUAAAAAAUAUUAAUAUUAUUGAGAUUCUGCACGUUUAAGCGUGCUCUAUAUAUGCUUUUCACACUCUAAGUAGUCCGGUUUCCUUUUGGACACUAUCUUUCACAUUCAUCUUUUGAACUUGGAAUACUAUUAAUAUAUGUCAUGGUACAAUUUUGUUUAAGUAACGGUUUAGUUUUAAUAAAAAAUGUUACUUAUCUUUUACUCGUAAUGUAUUUACUCUAUUUAGAUAUAAUACAAAUUGUUACUAUCGAGAAUUAAAGAAGUAUGUAUUUAUGUAAUAUGGUACAAAUUUAUUUCGAAAUAAUACGAUCCGUUCAGGGUAUUUUUGAUUCGAUAUUUACUAAACACUCUGUGUGCGAGGCCGACUCGCAUUUAAACGGUUUUUUUAUUAACUAUUUUCCAAAUUAUAUAAUUUUCUCAACCAAUUAUAAGCUAUGUUAGUAAUUAUUGUUAACAAUAUUGUAUAUAGGAAAAUAUAUAUUUUUUAAUUUGCAAAUUUAAGUUCUGCAAGCAUUAACUUAUUUUAAAACCGCGGAAAACAAUAACAUUUACUUUUGCUAUCUUCACACAAAGAUCCUAUUUCUUUUAAAUAAUUCAGCCUUUUUAUCAAUGUCGUUUAAGUGCUUCUUCAUAGUUGUAACGCUGAUCGAAUUGGUCAAUAACGUAGUUUUCGACUAUGACUAUUACGAUAAACCGAGUUAUAAAGGUACCUCGUGACUUAUUUAAUAAAUACAAGGAUAAUUGGAGUCAAUAUAAGAAAGAUUGCCUAACCCACAAACUGCCCGCCUCCGCUUGUCCAUUUUUCAAAAUACAUGGCACGGAUAUUGGCAGAUAUCCUUUGAAUCAAUUUUCGAGCUAUCCGUGUACAGUCGGCUGCAAAAGGCCAAAAGCAAACUGAGAACUGAAAGUGAGAACUAUGCGCAAGCACAUUUAAGUCAGAGUAUUAUGCUGAUGGUGUCAUUAUCCCAUAACCCAAUUGUAUGGUAUAUAAGUCAAGAUAUAAGUAAAGGAUCUUGAUGAAGAAGCCUGAUUUGUAUAUAUAAAGCAGAGAAGAAAAUGAAAGAUUUAUGUCUUCUAUGUCUAGUCUAUAUUAUAAUCUUAGUUAUUUGAAUUGAAUAUUAUAUGUGUUAUUUAUUUAUUUUUAGAAACACAAUUUAAUCUACGUGCUACUUAUACUUUUGAAGCGAAAUUAAAUGAAAAUAGUAAUUAAAAGUAUGUUUGUUUAAUGAUUUUUGAUGCCGAAGUUGCGGAUUUGCAUUUCACUUCUCACCAUCGAGUCGAUUCGCAACAAUUUCAUUUAAUUCAUGUAACCACUGGUGGUAUAUGAAAUCUAUCACACAUGAGUAAGAAUCGAAUCUAGAACCUAUCGAUCCUUUUCAUCACCAUCCACCACAUCUCCCUUAUAAUCACUAUUGAACUUAAUAACGUUUAAAAUCGAUUUUUAAUUAAUCAUGUGGACAAGGUUUUAUGAUUGCCUGUUUUUAUUUUCUAAUUUGCACGCAACAAGUGCGUAUUCGAGAACACUUUCAUUGCUAUUCUCCAUUGUACAACGCAUAUUCUUAUUUGCUAAUUAGUUAUAUAUUUAAUGAUGUCAAUAUUUUUAUUGAUAGCUUUCACACUAAUUACAGUGGUGGACAAUAAAAAAACGAGAGUUUAUGAUGACUACGACGACGAUGACUACGAAUAUGAUGAUGAUGAUUAUGACUACAUUUUCGAAUACAUUGAGAAUUACGACAUCUUCAUUGACUUAACUAGGACAAAACCGACUUAUAAAGGCCUACCUAGUGACAUGUUGUCUGUGUAUAAGGAAAAUUGGGAAAGAUAUAAUGCAGAUUGUUUAUCGCACAAAUUACCGGCCAGUGCUUGCCCGUUCUACAAAUACAAAAUACUACAUAAACCAACAUUCUAAAUAUAAAAUACAGAUGAUUUCACCUACCCCUUGGAAGCUAACUGCAACUUUUCUGAAGGAAAACAUAUUAUUCAAAAGAUGUGGGGUACGAACCAGAUCACUUGGCUACGAAAUAAGAUAAUCCAUUGACCACUGUGGCGGAGAUUUUUACACGACUGCCUAAAAGAAAGAGGGUUAAGUUUUCAAGAUUCACGUUUGUGAGUUUCUUUGUUCGACCAUAAUUUUUAAAUGCCAUAAGAAAACGUUAGCGAAAAAUACAAUUAUGACUUAUAAAAUCGAAUGGUGUAUCAAUUCUGUGAGGGUGGCAACAGGCCGCACUCGACAGAGAUAUGUGGAAAAGGGAAGGGGAGGUCUUUGCCCAGCAGUGGGUUAUUUAAAGUUGUUUAUUUCAAAUACAUAAUUUAAUGUGGUAUAGUAUCAUACAAGGUAAAUUAAAUAAAAAAGACACAUAAACAUUUUUAUAACUUUUAUUUAUGUCUGUAUAUGGUUAGAUUGGCGAUAUUUCUUAUGUUUUUUAUAAUUAGGACCUACGUAUACUUUUUUCGAUAAUAAUAAUGUUUUUUUGGGUUGACGCUUGUCAAUGGGGUUCUUUAAAGGCACAAAGCCUGCCGAUGUUAUAUAAUCCAAGCCGAAUUCUUCAUUGCUCGUUACUACAAUAAAAAACAAUAUAAAUAUACAUAAAAUUGGGAUUAAAUUCUUCGAAAUCAUUUCUCUCUAGGGAUAAAUUUGGUUACAAUCCUUUUUCUUCAAUUUAUUAAUAGUUCUUAUUCAGAUUUCAAAGGAUUUCUUAUAGUUCCUUUAAAUAUAUCCAUAAUGCACUGUAGUAUUGAUUUUUGCGACGUUGACACUAUUGGUUAAAACACAAUCAGUGUAAAUAAGUAUAUAAUCGUAUAUUUCUACAAUAUAAUUAAGCCUAUAAUUGUCAUUUGAUAAGGGAACAAAUAUUUAGUUGUUCAAUAUCAAUAACAUAAUUGAAUGUUGUUUUCCUCAUACUAAAUUAUCAAAUUUUGUUAAAUAAAAUAAUAACUCGUCUUGUGAA